This 235-nucleotide ribosomal RNA is filed under the name uncultured Staphylococcus sp. RNAcentral's name for it is "partial 16S ribosomal RNA". It matches the Rfam family "Bacterial small subunit ribosomal RNA", at positions 105 to 334 of the family's 1533-position model. The record is from RNAcentral. Lineage: Bacteria; Bacillati; Bacillota; Bacilli; Caryophanales; Staphylococcaceae.
GGUGAGUAACACGUGGAUAACCUACCUAUAAGACUGGGAUAACUUCGGGAAACCGGAGCUAAUACCGGAUAAUAUUUUGAACCGCAUGGUUCAAAAGUGAAAGACGGUCUUGCUGUCACUUAUAGAUGGAUCCGCGCUGCAUUAGCUAGUUGGUAAGGUAACGGCUUACCAAGACAACGAUGCAUAGCCGACCUGAGAGGGUGAUCGGCCACACUGGAACUGAGACACGGUCCAG